This 125-nucleotide small RNA is filed under the name Marmota monax (woodchuck). The record is from RNAcentral. Lineage: Eukaryota; Metazoa; Chordata; Mammalia; Rodentia; Sciuridae.
GCUGGGCACGGUGGCACAGGCCUGUAAUCCCAGCGGCUCAGGAGGCUGAGGCAGAAGGAUUGCAAGUUCAAAGCCAGCCUCAGCAAAAGUGAGGUGCUGAGCAACUCAGUGAGACUCUGUCUCUA